This 5375-nucleotide long non-coding RNA is filed under the name Homo sapiens (human). RNAcentral describes it as "non-protein coding lnc-CES5A-3:12". The record is from RNAcentral. Lineage: Eukaryota; Metazoa; Chordata; Mammalia; Primates; Hominidae.
GCCGGCGGCGCGGACCUCCUUGUCAAUGGGAGCGCGGGGCCGGGCUGCCCGCAGGACGGUCAGGUGGGCCCCCCAGCUCGCUGCCAGCGCGGCCUCUGUCCCUCUCGGGCCGGCUCUCCAUCUUGUCGCCCGUAGCCCGCCUUCUCCGUGGCUCUCCAGCCGCUGGGGCCGCAGAGCCGAGGCCGGGUUACCUCAGGAAACGCGAUGUGGUAGUGGGUCGGAAUAAACCCGCGCGCCCCAGAAUUCGCCUUGGGGGCGUAAGGACAGAUUCGGACUUUUCGUUUCCUAUGUCCACAUUUAUUGAGCACCUAAUAUGUGACACCCGAGGCUGUAAGAAGAGGAACGCAGCGGGCGGAGAAAAGCCAGAGCUUUUUCUCUGUGAGCCGCUGCCUCCAGGGCCAUAGCCGACCCUGCUCCGAGAUCCCAGCCGCCGCUCUCCGUGCAGGAGGGGUGCCCACCCUGGGGAGGCCAGGGUGCCCGGAGUGGAGGGACAGGGCUUCAAGCGACCGGGAGUUUCCAGCAAACCCCUGAUCCCUGAGCAGUUUAUUUUAAAAGCUUUUGCAAAUGUUGGACGGUUUCGUUUGGUGGAGGCCGUCUUUGCACUAAAUUCUCCUGUCCUCCCCCUUCGAAACGCACAAAAUGAAUUUUGAACAGAUUUUGGAUGAGAGGUUUUCUUCCUUUUUUCAUCUUCUGAAACAUUUCCCCCUCAUUUCUUCUCAGAUAAAGACCCAGAAACCCGGGACAGUUACUCGGUGUACAGCUAGUCAAAUACUGAGGAAACCAGUCGAUAUUUGCCAAAGAUUGGGCAUGUUCUGGGUGGUCUCAGAUUUUGAAGAAACGACUUUUUUACUGCACAAAAUAGUUUUACAAUCAGUUCCAUCAGACAGCCCCAGGGGCUCUCCUAGGGAAAGGGGCCAAUAGGCAAGGUUGCAUGGGGAUAAGAGAGGCAAGCGGCCAGUGGAAAACGGUUUUUUGUUUUUUUUUUCCUAACAGUUGGGCAUUUCUGUAGCUCUGAAAGCAAACUUGUUUGUUUCAUUUCAACGAUAGAAAAAAAACACUCCUGUUUUGGAAAUGUAACCCAGCAUAAAAAUACAUUUGCAAUGGGGAAAAAGAAAGCAGUUUAGGGCCACCCAGAAGAAAAUAUUUUUUCCCUGAUUUUUUUUUAAUUUGGUAUUUCCCAGUGUGGGUUUGCCUCAUUUUACAAAUAGCUGCCCAUGUCAAGAUGUGGGUAUGUGAUUUAAAUAUUUUAAUUUGAAUCACAUUUUACAUAGUCUAGGAAACUGACAAAAGAAUCCUAUAGAGAAUUGUUUUAUAAAGUGAAUAACUGCUUCUCUACCUACCCGCCCCUCUCAUUCUUCUUUUCUGUGCGUGUUUUUGGGGGGCUGUUAUGGGAUAAAUCUUGUUUGGCUUAAAAAUCACUAAAACGCAGCCUUUCAAAUCCAAAACAGAGAGCUUAGGUACCCAACAUUCUAUAGAAUGUAUUAUUUCCUCAAGAGGUUGCUAGGAACAGUUAUGUAGAUCUACCAGGUGCAGGGAAGCACUCCACACCCUCACCCAGGUCCUGUAUCCCUGCAAGACUGCGUUGGAAAGACUGAAGAGGAAGCUAAAGAAUGAUGCGCUCCACCACAAUGAGGGACUAAACAACAAAAAGGAGGCAUGAGAUUCAGGAAGCAAAAAAGGAAUUCAUCAUAUGAAGGAAUGAAGAUGUUCAAAAGAAAACCUUCAACCUCAUGCCAGAAGAUGUUCCCAGCUGUAUAAAUGCCUAACUCAGCUUCUAGUCCUUGGAAAUUAAGCAGCUCAUUGAAAAUUCAAGAGUUCCAGCCAGAAGCUACAGCUAGGCUCAGAUGUUGAAAUCAGUCUCUCCUGCUGAUCAAACUGUGACAUAGCCAAAGCAAUAGGCCUGGCUUUUCAGUUAAUUCUCAGCGAGCCCUUCCUUUCCCUCUGUAGUGGUUGGUGUGGCAUUUAUAAUAUAACUCCUUUAUGUACACUGUAAACCAUUCCUUCUCAGGGCAGAUGGAAGUAUGAAAUCUAUCUAUUUCAGUCUAUAAAAUUAUAUUUAGAGCGUUAGGUAAUGAAUGUCCUAGUAAAGUCGGCAGAGGACAGGUAGGUUAAAUGACAAGUAAGGAAUGACAGGCAGGUAGUAGAUGAUAAGAGUUGCAGAACAGUUUGGGGAGAAGGACUUUAUUUUUAAAUGCCUUUAGUAACACUACUACUACUAAUAUAGCAGUAAAGUACUUUUUACCCAUUAAUAAAUGGGUAAAAGUAAUUUCAAGUUAGCAAAUUUCUCAUUUAUAUGCAGUGUUUCAUAUAACAAUGGCUCAAUCCUGAUCCUUGUAGGAAACUACCUUAACCAUUGUGUAUUUUUUCAGCUUUUAAUGACUAUACAAGCACAUCUUAUCAUAUUUUAUAUUUUUUACAUAAAGAAGUCAUGCAACUUACACCAUGAACAUCUUUCCAUAUCAGGUCAUAUGGAACUUUUUCAUUCUUUUUAACAAUUGCAGAAUAUUGUGGGAAGUAGUUUAAUUUACUCAGCUAGUCUUCUAAUGAUGGACAUUUGGCUUGUUUACAAUUUCCAUUCUUUCACAAAGCCUGCUGCAACAAAUAACAUUAUUCAUAUGGCAUUUUGUUUAAGUGUGAGUAUAUAUGUAGGAUAAAUUUCUAGAAAGUAGACUUGCUGGAUUAAAAGUUAUGUACAUUUUAAAUUUUGAUAGAUAUUGCCAAAUUUCCAUGCAAAGGAUAAAUUUCUUUGUGUAGAAUUGCUUGGUUGCAUGGUGUAUGCAUUUCAUCUUUCAGAAAUGUUGUAUCAGUUUAUAUUCCUGGGCAAUAUGGGCAAACAAGAUAACCUGAAAAUCCCCCUAGAAAGACACCUAAAAUAUUAAAAAAUAUGUAACAAAUAUCUCAUGUAUAGAACUAGGCUUGCAAAAAAGUAAGGCAAAUCCCCAGGGAUCAAAAAAUGAAGAAGCUGAAAACCAAGGGAGGAAGCAGACAUUGAAGCCACUGAUGCCCUGGGGCAUUUAUAGUUGCAGGUAACCAAGAUGCUUGGUGUUUAACAGCCACAUGAAGAUAAGACCUUGGACCCAGCAAGGUGUAGAGAGGAGCCAAGACCCUCACAAGAAUCUGGAACCCUCAAGCACUAAAAGAUGGAUAGAAAAAAAUAACGAGCGAAAGGAGAUAAUAAGGCAAAUUGUCUGGCUUGGCUUAGGCAUACAGAGUAAAAACGAAAAGUAUGUACUGAGAAUUUAUAACCACAGGCCUGCCCUCAAGUGGGAUAGGAGUUCUAAUACAUACUACCUUGGGACACCUUGGGUGCCUAACAGAGGCAAAUGCAAAUCCUCUCCAAAGACUCAUGUCUUCAACCUAGGCUACCUAAGAUUCUGCUAUGGUUUGAAUAUUUUUCCCUCCAAAACUCCUGUUGAAAUUUAAUCCCCAUUGUGGCCAUAUUGAGAGGUGGGGUCUUUAAGAGGUGAUUGGGUCAUAAGGGAUCUGCCCUCAUUAAUGGACGAAUCCAUUCAUGGAUUAAUGGAUUAAUGGGUUAUCACAGGAGAGGGACUGGUGGCUUUAUGAGGAGAAAAGAGACCUGAGCUAGCAUACUCAGUCCUCUUACCAUGUGAUGCCCUGCACCACCUUUGGACGCUUCAGAGUCCCCACCAGCAAGAAGGCCCUCAGCAGAUGUGGCCCCCUGACCUAAAACUUCCCAGCCUCCAUUAUUGUAAUAAAUAAAUCCUAUUCUUUAUAAAUUAUCUAGGUUCGUUAUUCUGUGAUAAGCAGUAGAAAACAGACUAAGACAAUUCCCAUGGAUAAAAGGUUUGAUUGAACAUAAAUUCACAAUCCAAAAUUUCAUACCAAAAGAAAGAUUCCCAUGCAUGAAUGCAAGCAGUAAAAACAGCUUUAUUAGACUUCCAGGAACUUCAGAUAACGAGCAAUCAGAUAGAGAGUAUAAAAUGAGUUUUAUAUUUUUAAAAGGUUUAAGGAAACAGUAUCAGGAAUAAGAUGUAACUAAGAACACACACAUAAACAAGGCCUGACAGGUUUUAUAAAAUAAAGUAGAACUUCUAAAAAAUAAAAAAGUGAUAAUCAAAUUUUAGAAUACAAUGGAAUACUUAAAUAACCAAAUUAGAUUCAGUUGUAAAAAGAAUUAGCAAACUGGAAAAAUCUGAGGGAAGUACCUAAAGUGCAGCACAGAGUUGCAAGAAUGGAAAAAUAUAAAAAACAUUGAAUAUGUGAGCAUUUGAAGGACACAUAUAUGUUGUACUGAUGAUAUUCUACAUGGAUGAAAGAGAAUGAGGGGAUAUGAGAAAUAUUUAAAGAGAUAAUUGGUGAGAAUUUUCCAGAACAGGUAGAAGACAUGAAUCGUUAGAUUCAGGAAGCACAAUAAAUCUCAAAUUCUCCUACUGCAUUUCAGCAUACAUCACACAUUUUAAUGAAAUAUAACUAUAUUUCCCAAAACAAACUGUUAAUGAGAAGAGUGGCGUUGUUUUACAUUUUUGCUAAUCUCUUUAAUGUCUAGUUUAGUAGAAUACUGUUGGAUUCUCAUAUGUGCUUUUGGAUUCAACCUGUUCCAAUAUCACAUGUCAUAUAGCCUUUGGAAAACAAAUCUGCAAGAGAAUGAGAAUGAAAAAGACAAAUUAUGUCUUAGCAUUAUUAUAAAUAUACUUUUGGCCUUGUGUAACUCCUGAAAAAUUCUCCAGGUUCUUCAAGGGUCUUUAGAACAUACUUGGAGGAACACUGAUUUAUGUAUUUAUUUAAAAAAAUUUUCUUUAGAGAUUAGGUCUUGCUUUGUUUCCCAGGCUGGAGUGCAGUGGUGCAAUCAUAGCUCACUGCACCCUUGAACUCUUGGGCUGAAGCAAUCCUCCUAUGUCAGCUUUCCAAGUAGCUGGGACAAUAGGGGCACACCACCAUGCCCAGCUAAUUUUUAAAAUUUUUUAGAGGUAGGGUCUCACUAUGCUGUCCAAGCUGGUCUCAAACUCCCAGCCUCAAGUGAUCCUCCUUCCUCAGCCUACUGAGUAUCUGGGAUUAUAGGUGUGAGACACUGUGACCAGCUAGGACCACUGAUUUUGUGUAAGUUUUUUAUUAUGGGUUAUGGGUGGUGGACUGGGUGUGUUACAAACAAAUAUUCUACACACGUACACACACAGGUACAUACACACACACAAACAACCAUAUAUGCUCUACAUGAAUCCCAGUUUUUCAGGGAAUUAGAAUACAUACAAUAAGGUACACUUGGAUUUGAAACUCAGGGGAUUUCAUUUCUCUUCCAUGAUUUAAAGGGUACUUCAGGAUCCUGCAAUACCAUCUUUGUGAACAUCAGGAAUAUUACGUUGGUACAUACAGAAAGAAGUCUUGAGUAAUACCAGAUAUUUUUGGUUAAUAAGAUG